Molecule: ribosomal RNA, 450 nt
Filed under: uncultured bacterium
Lineage: Bacteria
Description: partial 16S ribosomal RNA
Rfam family: Bacterial small subunit ribosomal RNA
Source: RNAcentral
CCUACGGGGGGCUGCAGUGGGGAAUUUUGGACAAUGGGCGAAAGCCUGAUCCAGCCAUGCCGCGUGAGUGAAGAAGGCCUUCGGGUUGUAAAGCUCUUUCGCAAGGAAAGAAAACUUAGCUACUAAUACUAGUUGAGGAUGACGGUACCUUGAUAAGAAGCACCGGCUAACUACGUGCCAGCAGCCGCGGUAAUACGUAGGGUGCGUGCGUUAAGUGGAAUUACCGGGGGCGAAUCGUGAGGAGGCGGGUGAAAUCCCCGGGCUCAACCUGGGAACUGCGUUUGAAACUACAAGGCUAGAGUGUAGAAGAGGGGGGUAGAAUUCCACGUGUAGCAGUGAAAUGCGUAGAGAUGUGGAGGAAUACCGAUGGCGAAGGCAGCCCCCUGGGCUAACACUGACGCUCAUGCACGAAAGCGUGGGGAGCAAACAGGAUUAGAUACCCCAGUAGUC